GGGAAGGCAUGGAUGCAGAACAGAGCAUGGAUGUAACGGUUGACAACGCAAUAGAACAGGGAACCAGGACCAGUGUCCGGUCCAUGGUGGUCCAGAAGUCCCUCAAGCAAGGCCGAACCUCCAGCCACAGAGACCUGCAGAACAAAUGGACAAGGCGCGAACCGCCAAAAACUUCACCCCUGGCCUGACGUCACCCUUUCGACUCUCCCCUCCGCUCCUUUCCGGCCUGUUUUCAUACUGGAGCAUAGGUCUGUAAUAGCUUUCUGGCAUAUGUUGGUCAAUUAGUUUUGCCCCAAGGGGGGACUUAAUUCGGUUCGAAAUGGAUUGUUCAUAUGAUGUGGAAUUAUUGUAAACACGAUGCGAUCCUCAAAGUGGGUUUGGCAAUGCGAAAUCAAUGGAUUUGUUCCGUUCAGAGCCCCUGCGCUCACAAUUCACCGAUCUCAGAUUAAUGCUGUAAUUACGUCUGCUCCAAGACCACAAGGGCGGCAUAUGGAAAACUAGAAUGUUACGCCUAGACAGACAAUACCUUUAUGUAUCUUGACCUCGCUUGAAAUAGAAAAUGUAAUCAUGCUUUCCUUCUCGAAACGCGACUCAUGCGCUGGCGAUGUGUCAUGAGCUUUAGAGCAGCGGCCAAGCAAUGUACACACCUUCUCUUUGGGUUCAGCGGCUGUCAUGUUAGGUAAGAUUACACGUUGUAUUAAAAUUGCAUUCAAGAUAGAAUUUAUUCAGAUGAACACUCGCAUUCAACUUUGGGACAUUGUACCCUUGAAGCAGUAAAUGGAACUUGUGGGGUGUAAGCCAUAGACAAAGGCCUGUAUUCAAAUGCCAUUUGCCCAUAACUUUAACUCACAAUUAAAUUCUUGUGUAUUGUCACAAUGCGUUUGCAAUUUUUUUCUAAGUGUUUAUUUGUAAAUUGUAAAUUAAAUAUAAAUUUUGAUUGAAUAUGGGUCACAGACUUUAAA
Long non-coding RNA from Anguilla rostrata (American eel), 962 nucleotides. RefSeq lists it as uncharacterized. NCBI's taxonomy places the organism in Eukaryota, Metazoa, Chordata, Actinopteri, Anguilliformes, Anguillidae. The transcript has 2 exons. The record is from RefSeq and is a predicted model, not a curated record.